This 1283-nucleotide ribosomal RNA is filed under the name metagenome. RNAcentral describes it as "bacterial LSU rRNA". It matches the Rfam family "Bacterial large subunit ribosomal RNA", at positions 1620 to 2925 of the family's 2925-position model. The record is from RNAcentral.
CUGUGUGAAUAGAAGAUAGAGCCCGUACCGCAAACCGACACAGGUAGAUAGGAAGAAGAUUCUAAGGCCAACGGGAGAAGGGUUGUUAAGGAACUCGGCAAGUUGACCCCGUAACUUAGGGAGAAGGGGUGCUCUUUAAGGAGAGCCGCAGAGAAUAGGCCCAAGCGACUGUUUAGCAAAAACACAGCUCUAUGCUAAAUCGAAAGAUGACGUAUAUGGGGUGACACCUGCCCGGUGCCGGAAGGUUAAGAGGAGGAGUGAGAGCUCUGAAUUGAAGCCCCGGUAAACGGCGGCCGUAACCAUAACGGUCCUAAGGUAGCGAAAUUCCUUGUCAGGUAAGUUCUGACCCGCACGAAUGGUGUAACGAUUUGGGCACUGUCUCAACAACCUGCCCGGCGAAAUUGUAGUACCGGUGAAGAUGCCGGUUACCCGCGACUAGACGGAAAGACCCCAUGGAGCUUUACUGCAGCUUAAUAUUGAAUUUCGGUAUUUCAUGUACAGGAUAGGUGGGAGACAGGGAACCAUAGGCGUCAGCCUAUGGGGAGUCGACCUUGGGAUACCACUCUUGAGGUGCUGGAAUUCUAACCUGUGGCUCUGAAUCGAGUCAGGGGACAUUGUUAGGCGGGCAGUUUGACUGGGGCGGUCGCCUCCAAAAAGGUAACGGAGGCGCUCAAAGGUUCGCUCAGCAUGGAUGGAAACCAUGCUUUUGAGUGUAAACGCAAAAGCGAGCCUAACUGCGAGACUGACGGGUCGAGCAGUAACGAAAGUUGGAGUUAGUGAUCCGGCGGUAUGUGAGUGGAAAUGCCGUCGCUCAACGGAUAAAAGCUACCCUGGGGAUAACAGGCUGAUCUCCCCCAAGAGUCCACAUCGACGGGGAGGUUUGGCACCUCGAUGUCGGCUCAUCGCAUCCUGGGGCUGAAUUCGGUCCCAAGGGUUUGGCUGUUCGCCAAUUAAAGCGGUACGCGAGCUGGGUUCAGAACGUCGUGAGACAGUUCGGUCCCUAUCUGUCGUGGGCGUAGGAUAUUUGAAAGGAGCUGUCCCUAGUACGAGAGGACCGGGAUGGACGCACCGCUGGUGCACCAGUUGUCAUGCCAAUGGCACAGCUGGGCAGCUAUGUGCGGAACGGAUAAACGCUGAAGGCAUCUAAGCGUGAAGCCGACCUUAAGAUAAGAUAUCCCUUCGUAAGAGUAAGACCUCUCAUAGACUAUGAGUUUGAUAGGCCUAAGGUGUAAGCACAGUGAUGUGUUCAGCCUGCAGGUACUAAUCGGUCGAGGGCUUUUCCU